GAUGGGAGUGCGAAUCUCGAAAGCCUGUCUCAGUUCGGAUUGGAGGCUGAAACCCGCCUCCAUGAAGUUGGAUUCGCUAGUAAUCGCGCAUCAGCCAUGGCGCGGUGAAUACGUUCCCGGGCCUUGUACACACCGCCCGUCAAGCCAUGGAAGCUGGGGGUGCCUGAAGUUCGUGACCGGAAGGAGCGACCUAGGGCAAAAACCGGUGACUGGGGCUAAGUCGUAACAAGGUAAC
This 235-nucleotide ribosomal RNA is filed under the name uncultured bacterium. RNAcentral describes it as "partial 16S ribosomal RNA". It matches the Rfam family "Bacterial small subunit ribosomal RNA", at positions 1258 to 1500 of the family's 1533-position model. The record is from RNAcentral.